ACCCGCUGAACUUAAGCAUAUCAAUAAGCGGAGGAAAAGAAACCAACCGGGAUUGCCCCAGUAACGGCGAGUGAAGCGGCAAGAGCUCAAAUUUGAAAUCUGGCCCCUCCGGGGUCCGAGUUGUAAUUUGCAGAGGAUGCUUCGGGUGCGGCCCCUGUCUAAGUGCCCUGGAACGGGCCGUCAGAGAGGGUGAGAAUCCCGUCUUGGGCAGGGUGCCCGUGCCCGUGUGAAGCUCCUUCGACGAGUCGAGUUGUUUGGGAAUGCAGCUCUAAAUGGGUGGUAAAUUUCAUCUAAAGCUAAAUACCGGCCGGAGACCGAUAGCGCACAAGUAGAGUGAUCGAAAGAUGAAAAGCACUUUGAAAAGAGAGUUAAACAGCACGUGAAAUUGUUGAAAGGGAAGCGCUUGCGACCAGACUCGGCCUCGGGGUUCAGCCAGCAUUCGUGCUGGUGUACUUCCCCGGGGCCGGGCCAGCGUCGGUUC
Molecule: ribosomal RNA, 481 nt
Filed under: Aspergillus sp.
Lineage: Eukaryota; Fungi; Ascomycota; Eurotiomycetes; Eurotiales; Aspergillaceae
Description: eukaryotic LSU rRNA
Rfam family: Eukaryotic large subunit ribosomal RNA
Source: RNAcentral